GGGUGUUUUGGUUGUGCAUCUGUUCAGUUAUCUGAGCCAACUCUACCUGCUGAGAUUAUUAUUGGUGUGGGCAACCACCAGUACGUGUAUGAGCAGCUUAAGGUUAUCCUUAUGCAUGAUUGUGUGCUGUCCAUCAUGAUGGCCGGACUCGUUCAUGAAUGUCGAUCUUUCCCACCGCAGGGGAGAUGCACAUUUUGAAGCCAUGACUUCCCUUUUUCUGUUCUUGUGUACCACUCGGUGAAGUGGCCUGCACUCCUGUUCCUAAGAGUUUUUGAAAUUUUGUAUUUGGUUGCCAUGCGAACCGAACUGGCCCGUACUCCUGUUCACCGGUCUUUUGUUUAGCAUGGAUUGUAUGCCCUGUUUCCAGUACUUAUGGUAGUUCUAGGGCAUUGUUUGAUACUUGCUAGCAUGAUUGACUUUUCCGUUGAGUAGCUAACCACUACCUGGUUGUUUGAACCAAUGGCUGGUUAGAUCCUGUAGGCUGAGUCUAUGGUCUGUUUGGGUUGCUAUUGUGGUCUGGUUGUUCUCUAAUAAGAACAUAUAUUUUUCUUGCUUGUGCAUUCAACUGAAGCCAUUGCUUAUGUGUGUACUGUUUGAUUGCCCCGUCAGACUAAAGAUGAUGGUAGAGUUUUUCCUGUCAACGACAACUCUGCUUUGAUGCGGCGCCUCGGCCUCCCGUGGAUGAGCUGAUGAUGAGGUACGCCCUCCUCUCCUUCCUUCCCCUUCCUGUCGCCCAAACAGUGACUAGUGUGUAUGCUGCAUUUUUAUUACGCCUACUCAGAGAAAUCACACGUAGAUGAAGUUGAGGAUUGCUAGGUAGUUAGUUGCAUGGUGAAAUUGACUUGGCUUAGAAUCUGGUGGUAGCUUGUCAUAGAUGAUAUGGUUCCCUCAAUGAAGAACUCUUAUGGCAUUUUUAGAUGAAUGAAUCAGAUUGCAAAUUUGUUUGAUUUUUUUCUUUUUUUAUUCAAAAAAGGAGGUUAAACCCCCGGCCUUUGCAUCAAUAUGACGCACACGGCUAUUUUUAUUAAUUAUUCAGCAGAGUACUGCAAAUUUGUUUGAUACUCACACCUGAUUGUUGAUUCGUUCGCUAUAUAUAUGUUGGUGUCGAACAUCCUGAUCCUUGUUUGGUGAAACAGCAGCAACAACAACAACAACAACAAUAACAACAACAACAAAGCCUUUAGUCCCAAACAAGUUGGCGUAGGCUAGAGGUGAAACCCAUAAGAUCUCGCAACCAACUCAUGGCUCUGGCACAUGGAUAGCAAGCUUCCACGCACCCCUGUCCAUAGCUAGCUCUUUGUCGAUACUCCAAUCCUUUAGGUCUCUCUUAACGGACUUGUUUGGUGAAACAGCAGUUGUUUUAUUUUGGUUUGAGUUCCUAUAUUGGUGCAGAGAUAUGAUUGAAAAUAAAUGUGCUUAUGUACCGGACUGCCAGUUCACAUUUCAACAUGGCUGGUUUGUUGUAUCUUAGUUUGCCGAUAGAUUCCUGGAUGGCCAGAUUUGAUAGCUAGCUUGAUUGUUUCUCACGUUUUAUCGGGGGAUGUCCUUUGCCCAAUUCCAUGGCUGAUUGUGUGUUAUUUCGUGUGGACGGGUACAGAAUUGCAGGCACGGAGGGGUUGUACACGGAGCUGCAGGGAAAGAUGAUGGGCAAUAAGGCCACAGAGUAAGCGCUCAUCUUUGUCGAGGAGUGCGGACUCACCAGCCUUCUCACGCCGGAUCAGUUCCUCAAGGAGUGGGAGAGUAUGCUCCAGGGGAUCUCUUCCUCCUGCGCGCCUGGUGAGAACGCUUUGUCUGUAACUCCCCUUCUAAUGAUACUCUUGUGGUUUGUAUUUGUAAGUGAUGGUGUCAAGCUUCAGUUGUCAGUUGUGUGGGGCAACUAAAUUGUGAGUUUAACAUGGCUGUAUAAUUGUAGGAUCAUUACGUCUUUGAUAGUUCAUUCACUGUGACUGCUUCAGUCGCUUUCAUGACUUGCUGCAAUCUCCCUUGCUUAUUUCUUAAAUUUCUCCACUCAAUUAUAAUGCUAAUUUCCAUAAUGGAGCCUUUAAUCAUACUUAUAAUCUUCAGCUUUCAGCAUUAUAUCUUUGAAGCACCGCUGUUUCCUUUACCUCCCGCCUUGAUUUGUUUGACCUUCUGCAUUGAGCUCCUGAUGCAAUUAUGAUUUGGGCUGCUGUGUGUCGUGAAGAUAGUAAUACGAUCGAUGAUUUACAAGUAAUUUAUUUAUUGCACUCCACUUGUUUUACAUAUGAUUUUUGAUGCGUUAAAACUGUUGUUGUGGUUCAGAUGCUUGGCAAGAUUGAUGUUGUUGGCGGCACAAGGGGCAAGGCGGUGAAGAGAGAAGGAAGUGCAUGCUGAAGGAAGUGCUUUGUGUCACGCAAGUGCUAAUUGAUGGAUGGAUAUGGCUGGUGAUAGAUAUGUGUUGUGUACUUAGUAGAUAAAACGGCUUGGUUUUGUUUGCCAUGAACCUCAAAUGUUGGAAAUCGAUGUAAAUGCAUUUCCCAGCUCUUGUUUAUGUUGGGCUGGGCAAUGAGAUGAGCGAGGGCGAUACUAGAAACAUGCAUGCCACCGUAAAUUUCUGUAUUUCUUAAAUGAAGUGGAGGAAUUUAAGAAAUCUGAUUCAUGGAAUGACCAUGAAUCACACUCUGUGAAAUGAAAUGAAAAUGCAUCAAGCAGGAGUGAAGAAAUGAGCUUCAUUUUCAAGCCGAG
RNAcentral lists this long non-coding RNA (2703 nucleotides) under Triticum aestivum (bread wheat). RNAcentral describes it as "long non-coding RNA (TAES_LNC007648)". The record is from RNAcentral. Lineage: Eukaryota; Viridiplantae; Streptophyta; Magnoliopsida; Poales; Poaceae.